This 254-nucleotide ribosomal RNA is filed under the name uncultured bacterium. RNAcentral describes it as "partial 16S ribosomal RNA". It matches the Rfam family "Bacterial small subunit ribosomal RNA", at positions 524 to 776 of the family's 1533-position model. The record is from RNAcentral.
UACGUAGGACCCAAGCGUUAUCCGGAAUUACUGGGCGUAAAGAGUUGCGUAGGUGGCAGAGUAAGUAAGGUGUGAAAGCGUGCGGCUCAACCGCAUAGACAUACUUUAAACUGCUCAGCUUGAGGACGAGAGAGGUACCUGGAAUUCCUAGUGUAGGAGUGAAAUCCGUAGAUAUUAGGAGGAACACCGAUGGCGUAGGCAGGGUACUGGCUUGUUCCUGACACUAAGGCACGAAAGCGUGGGGAGCGAACGGG